Molecule: ribosomal RNA, 500 nt
Filed under: uncultured bacterium
Lineage: Bacteria
Description: partial 16S ribosomal RNA
Rfam family: Bacterial small subunit ribosomal RNA
Source: RNAcentral
AUUGAACGCUGGCGGCAGGCCUAACACAUGCAAGUCGAGCGGAUGAGAGGAGCUUGCUCUUCGAUUCAGCGGCGGACGGGUGAGUAAUGCCUAGGAAUCUGCCUAGUAGUGGGGGACAACGUUUCGAAAGGAACGCUAAUACCGCAUACGUCCUACGGGAGAAAGUGGGGGAUCUUCGGACCUCACGCUAUUAGAUGAGCCUAGGUCGGAUUAGCUAGUUGGUAGGGUAACGGCCUACCAAGGCGACGAUCCGUAACUGGUCUGAGAGGAUGAUCAGUCACACUGGAACUGAGACACGGUCCAGACUCCUACGGGAGGCAGCAGUGGGAAAUAUUGGACAAUGGGCGAAAGCCUGAUCCAGCCAUGCCGCGUGUGUGAAGAAGGCCCUCGGGUCGUAAAGCACUUUAAGUUGGGAGGAAGGGCUUACAGCGAAUACCUGUGAGUUUUGACGUUACCGACAGAAUAAGCACCGGCUAACUUCGUGCCAGCAGCCGCCGUAA